RNAcentral lists this long non-coding RNA (764 nucleotides) under Mustela putorius furo (domestic ferret). RNAcentral describes it as "lncRNA (ENSMPUG00000028376.1)". Lineage: Eukaryota; Metazoa; Chordata; Mammalia; Carnivora; Mustelidae. The record is from RNAcentral.
GGUGGCGGAGAGAGGUGCAGCAUAGUCCCAGCCCCGCAGGCGCCUAGACCAAAGAGUGGCGGCGCGGCGGGGGCGGGGCCUUCGACGCACGCUCCCUCCCAGCCCGCCUCCCCGCUCACCCACCUCUCCUCCCCUCUUCCCCCGCCGCCUCGCGUUACCCGCCUGCACGCGGGCCGCCCGUUGCCUUGGCAACCGUCGAGCCGCGUCUUCCUGAGGGAGCUCUGUCAGCCCGCAGAUCCUGUCGCCAGUUCCCCACUGCCCCGCGAUUUUCGCGUGGGCUUAGAGGCGGAGGGACAACAAAAAAUGGCGGAGCGGAGCCAGACGGCGCCUGAGGCAGGUCUGUGAGGGCGGUCGAUCGUGGGGAAGCUUUGAGGCAGCAUGGCUGUCCUGGGUCUGAGGGGAGAGGGGACUAGGGCAUGGCCCUACUCCUGAGGAGGCGCUCCUGUGUAUUUGCGCCUUAGGGCUGUGACCUCGGGGUCAGGGGUCAGGGGAGGUACAUACCGCUCUCAGUGGCGGGCAUGGACCUCGGAGUCCUGGCGGCAGCGGCAGAGGUGUAUGCGGGACUGUGCACACUUCUAAGAGCUCUGAAUGUUGCAUUUGACUUCAGUUUCAAGUAUCAUGGCUCAGUGUCCCUUUCAAUGAGAGAUACCAGAGAACUGUAUGUAUUAAAAGAUCAAAUUGAUAUCAGUAUUUUGCAUACAUAUUUUUAAGAAAGUCACAGCUUUAUUUUCAGGUCAUUUAAGAGCAGUAAGUCUCUCUCUGCC